GGGGAACCCAUGCAAAUGGGUCGGAGGCAGCGUCGAAGGUGGGGUUGGUAAUUGGGGUGAAGUCGUAACAAGGUAUCCGUACCGGAAGGUGCGGAUGGAUCACCUCCUUUCUAAGGAGAACAGGGAGUAAGGCAGAGAGAAAGAGGUUUAACCUUUUGUAUCUCACCUCACACUUCCCGAAUCCUAUGGUCGAUGACCACUUUUAGUCUUCUGUUGGUUUUAUAUAUUAAUAUGGGAUCAAAUCCGACUAAUGUCGGCUUUUUUUAGAGGGCCUAUAGCUCAGCUGGUUAGAGCGCACGCCUGAUAAGCGUGAGGUCGAUGGUUCAAAUCCAUCUAGGCCCACCAUUUGUGAAAUUCACAGUGAGAGGUUAGAAGGGGGAAUUCUAGAAACCGAAUUGAACGGUUUCGCCCGAUGAUACCACUUCCAUCACCACUUGUUUCACCUUUCAGCACAUGGGGGUGUAGCUCAGUUGGGAGAGCACCUGCCUUGCAAGCAGGGGGUCAGGAGUUCGAGUCUCCUCAUCUCCACCAUUUUAUAAUUUUGUGAGGAGUGAGGCGUGAGGUGUGAGGCGAAAGCCUGACCCCGAAGACUUGAUUCCGCACAAUGAUCCAAAUCGUAAGGCAAAGGGAACCAGGAAGAGGAAUAUAAAAAAUCGCCUCACCCCUCACCCCUCACGUCUCACGAUUCGCGCGAAGCGCGAAGAGCUCUUUGACAAUUGCACAUAGGAAGAAAGAAGCAGGAACAAUUUCAUUUGAAGUCAUUCAGAUGAGAGAGUUCUCUCGAAGCGAAAAUA
This 794-nucleotide unclassified non-coding RNA is filed under the name uncultured Pelospora sp. RNAcentral's name for it is "16S-23S ribosomal RNA intergenic spacer". The stretch from base 269 to 342 matches the Rfam family "tRNA". Lineage: Bacteria; Bacillati; Bacillota; Clostridia; Eubacteriales; Syntrophomonadaceae. The record is from RNAcentral.